CCUACGGGUGGCAGCAGUCGGGAAUAUUGCGCAAUGGAGGAAACUCUGACGCAGUGACGCCGCGUGCAGGAAGAAGGUUUUCGGAUUGUAAACUGCUUUAGACAGGGAAGAACAAAGACAGUACAUGAAGAAUAAGCAUCGGCUAACUACGUGCCAGCAGCCGCGGUAAUACGUAGGGCGCAAGCGUUAUCAGGACUGAUUGGGUGUAAAGGGUGCGUAGGCGGAGAAGCAAGUCAGUUGUGAAAUCCCUCGGCUUAACUGAGGAACUGCAACUAAAACUACUUCCCUUGAGUACUGGAGAGGAAGGUAGAAUUCCUGGUGUAGCGGUGAAAUGCGUAGAUAUUAGGAGGAACACCAGUGGCGAAGGCGACUUUCUGGACAGUAACUGACGUUGAGGCACGAAAGUGUGGGGAGCAAACAGGAUUAGAUACCCUUGUAGUC
Molecule: ribosomal RNA, 441 nt
Filed under: uncultured bacterium
Lineage: Bacteria
Description: partial 16S ribosomal RNA
Rfam family: Bacterial small subunit ribosomal RNA
Source: RNAcentral